GUUCUGCUAUAACUGUCUUCCCUUUGGAGUUGCCUCUGCUCCCGCAAUUUUUCAGCGGUGCAUGGAAACGGUCCUGGCCGACCUUCCAGCCGUGCAGGUGUAUUUGGACGAUGUAUUGAUAGCGGAACGUCAAGCCGGUAAUGGCUUAGCGCUUCAGGACGUGUUGCGCAGGCUUCAAGAGAAUGGUACCAGGCUGAAGGCCAAAAAAAUGACACUUUUGCAAAGAUGCCAUCGUCUGCCUGGGCCAUCGCAUCGACAAAGACAGCUUGCAUCCGCUUGAGAAGAACCUAGCAGCAAUACGGGACUCACCACAGCCUACAAAUGUGAGUGAACUGCACUCGUUUUUGGGUCUGUGGACUUAUCACCAGUUCUUGCCACACAUGUCAAUGUUGGCCGGGUUGUAUUUUCUGCUUGAAAAAGAGCAUAAAUGGCAGUGGGGAACGGUGCAGGAAAAUUAAUAUCUCAAGGCUAAACAAACCCUUCUGAGUUCAUCUGUUCUGACGCAUUUCGAUCCCAACCAACACAUGCGCUUGGAAUGUGAUGCGUCACUCUCGGGUAUAGGUGCCGUAAUCUCGCACCAAAUUGGGAAAUUGGAUAAGCCCAUUGCCUUCCGUUCACGCACGUUAACACAUGCCGAAAAGAAUUAUUUUCAGCUUGAGAAUAAAGCUCUUGCACUGGUGUUUGGAGUGACAAAGUUUCGAGACUACCUGGUGGGCCGCGAGUUUGUAUUGGUCGCGGACCAUCAACCACUAGUGGGACUUCAACGAGAAGAUUAAGCUGUGCCCCCAAUGUACGGGCAAGCCGCACUCAGUCGCUUGCCUAUGCCGAUACCAGAUGCUUGUCGUUCGGGCACCUUACCAGAAUACAUGCAGUCUUCAGAGAACCUUGACAGCUCGUUCGUGCCAGUGGGUGCCAUACGGGUGUUGACGAAUGCAGAUGGAUACCUCAGCAUGGUGCAGCACUUUGUACUUAAUGGGUGGCCUAAGCGCUUGUCACCAUGCCACAGUCACCUUCAACGUUAUUUUUGCAGAAGACUGGAGCUGUCAAGCGUAGAAGGCCUGCUCUACUGGGGUCACCACAUCGUCAUACCCCGCAAAGCACGAGUCUCCAUGCUUGCUGAGCUACAUCGACCACGCCAGGGUGCAUCUGCGAUGAAAAGACUGGCUUGGGUGCUGUUCUGGUGGCCUGGGUUGAAUGUUACUCGCAGCCUCCCAGAUUCCAGUACAGGGACCAGGUGUGGGUGCACAACUUUGGCCAAGGGAGGCGUUGGCAUCCAGGCAUCGUCAAGAGCACUGAGGGUUCACGGCUGGUAACGGUUGACACUCCAGAUGGCCUAGCCAGACGUCACUUGGACCAAAUUUUCCGUCGGGUGCUUCUAUCACCCAUGGCCCCAAAAGUGGAGGCUCCCAACUCGCUUAACCCAGCCCGGACUACAAGAAUCGGCCGACAUCAACACGAGAAGGCCAGUCCAGUCUGGCCACUACAGAACCAACUGGUGCCGUGCCUGUUCCUUCAACACCUCCAACAUCCCUUCCAGCUGAACAGGCUCUCUGUCCCCUAAGUCCGCCAGUCUUACGGAGGUCUAUUCUACCCCAGAACGAAGACCCGUGCAAAGACUGCAGUUUUAAAAGGGAGGGAGAAGUGAUAUGAAAUGCUUGGAAGUGCUGUGCUAACAUGUGUCAAACAUGAUUCGUUCUUUUGUGUUAUGUCAUAGGCAAGCAGCCUUUAUAUAUAGUUCGUUGUCUCUGAAAUAAAUGUGUUGUGCGUUUGCUCUUGGGCCGUCUCUGUCACUCUGUCAUCCACUACAACAGCUUUGACAACCACUUUAUUGUUAUGACACCAAGUACUAACAUUUUAAAGAACACUUCUUAGUGUUGCCAAUGCUUUACUGGAGUCUUGUUAGAUUAAAUAUGUGGUCUACUCAAUAGUAAUGUUUUUGUGCACUGAGACGGGCAAUCUGCGAGAUUACUUAUGCAGACAUAAAGUAGGAGAUAUUGUAAUUGAUCAGGUGAAGUGCUGCGGCACCUGACACAUUACACGAAUGCAGCAGUAGGAACAUCAGUGUUGGGUGGCUUCCAUAAAGAACACUUUGUUAGCAGAAUGUCAUGUUCAUUAUAAAAUUCAGCUUUCUGUUCCUUUAGGAGUAGGAGUGUGCAUUCAGACCACCAUGGCAGCACUGGCAGUACUAAAGUGCCUCUGUCAACACCUCGUGCAGGUGUGUCACAGGCAUGGACCACUGCAGGGGAUGUUGGCAGUGGUCGUGGCUGUUUACAACAUGAGCAGCGAAGGACCUGUUUGUGAACUUGAAGCCCUACAUGCGCAUGCCACAGGCUACUACUCUAACUUGCUCAAGUGCCUGCACAACUCCAGUGGUGUUCAUAUGAUAUGGGUAGAGAUACUCGUGUAUCAUACCACCUGGACUGUGAGAAAAUACGUUCACAUGGGACAGCUGUGUAGGAACUACAGGAGAUCCAGUGCAAGGAAGGUUUUUAGGCAUAUUGAAGGGAAUGGCCUGGGGA
Molecule: long non-coding RNA, 2519 nt
Organism: Dermacentor andersoni
Lineage: Eukaryota; Metazoa; Arthropoda; Arachnida; Ixodida; Ixodidae
Source: RefSeq, a predicted model, not a curated record